AAAAAAACGCUAGAUUUAGCUACGGAAUUAGCUACGGAAAUUAUUCUGUAGCUAUUCUGCGACGGAAUUACAACGGAUUAGCUACGGAAAUAAUUUGUUGAAUUUAGCAACGGAUUUAACGACGAAUUUCCGUAGCAAUACUUUCGCUACGGAUAUAUUCCGUCAUUAAAGUCAAAAAAAUUACUAAUUUUUGUUAAAAAAAUUUAGCUACGGAAUAACCGUAGUUAAAUCCGUAGCUAAACUAAAAUUUAAUUCGUAGCUACGGACUCUAUCCGUAGCGGGAUAUUGUGACUUAUUAGCUACGGAAUGUCCGUAGCAAAAUCCGUAGCUAAGACCAAAUUUCAAAUCUAAAGGUGCAGCCGCGGUUUUUCUUCUUCUCAUUUUCCCCUAAUUGCAAACCCUAGCGUUUCUCACUCUUCCGGCGCCGUUCAUCCCGUCGCUGCGGUUGCUCCGCCGUUUCUCUCAAAGUCGUCGGUGCCGCCACCGUGCUCGCUCACCGUCGCAGGCGCCCUGAGAGCACCUUUACUGAAGAAGAUGUUGCCAAUUACUUCAGUAACUUUGGACCGGUGCAGGAUGUGAGGAUGCCGUGCCAGCAACAACGAAUGUUUGGUUUUGUAACUUUUGUCAGUGCAGACACUGUGAAGUUAAUUUUGUCCAAGGGAAACCCCCAAUUCUUUUAUUUGUUAGAAAAUUUUCCUAGUGUUAUGCAUGGUAACUCAAUGCUCUACUAAUCUCUUAUUAAUGUGGGAAAAACUCAACUCUAUAACAUUUGGGAGUCUGUUUUAGGUUGUCUUAAUUUUUUGCUGCUUAUUACUUAUUUUCUGGUGAUUACUCGUGGUGUGCAGCACUCAAGGAGUUAGUCUGCCGGAUAGCCCUUUUGCCUCUGCGGUGGCCAGCAGCAUUUCAGCAGUUAUAUAGUUGAAGAUACAAGAUUAUAGAGCUUAUAGAGAGGUGCUGGUUUUAGAAGGCAACACCACUAUAUCGGGAGAGAGUAGUACUUCAGCUAUGUCCGACAUUGACAAAGAGCAGUAUGCCACUCGCCUAGGAGAUGUAGAGGAGCAGCUUCAAGAGGAGCGAGAAAGGACAUCUCGAUUAGAAGAACAGGUUAAAGUUGCAAUGGAGAUUAUCAAUCAGUUGCAAGGGCAAUCAAGCAGUGCCACUAGCCAUCCAGAUCCACCACCACAUGUUCCAUGAUUAUACAUGUGUUUUGAUUUUGAUAUCGACUAUCUCUAGGUGCUUGAUUUUGAAAUACUUGUUAGAUAUGUGAUUUUUAAACUAUUUUGGUUUGUGACUACUAUUUCUAGGUGUUUGGUUUUGAAAUACUUGUUAGACACGUGAUUUUUAAACUAUCUUGGUUUAUGACUAUUUUGGUUUAUGA
Salvia miltiorrhiza (redroot sage) is the source of this 1378-nucleotide long non-coding RNA. RefSeq lists it as uncharacterized. The transcript is spliced from 4 exons. Lineage: Eukaryota; Viridiplantae; Streptophyta; Magnoliopsida; Lamiales; Lamiaceae. The record is from RefSeq and is a predicted model, not a curated record.